AAGGACUUUCAGGAAGUCUUAUAUAUUGAAUGCUUUAGAAAGAAAUUGGGCCCUGUCUCAGCAAGGCAGUUUUUUGCAACAGUCUGAAAGGAUAAGAAAAGGAAAAAUGUUAUUUCCUCUCGUUUCCUCAUCAGUUGCUGUGUGUGUCACAGAACAGAGGUGGAGGGGAAGCGAGGACCCCGGUGGCGAAGCUUGUCAGGGCAGACAGGCUGAUUCCAUUCUCCCUUCCUUUCCCCGUGACCUUAGCCUUAUUUGAAGAAACCUCCUCAGUGGAAAACGGACUGUGGCUGACGACGCCUGUCAUCUGUGCUGUCGCUGGAGGGCAGAACGCUGGUGCCCGGCAUUGUCAGGCCCUGAGUUUACCUGCAAGUGGGCACGUAUUGCCCUCCCCGGGCCUCACCAGACUCCGCUGGCUCCUGAAAACUCUCCAGCCUGACUCUGCUUUUUCUCAUUUUGUUUAUUCUUUCAAAAUAUACAGUAUACUCCUUUCAGGCAGGUGCAAGAAUUUCUGUAAUAAUUCAUGUUCUCAUUUUCAGGAGCUAUGGAGUUGGUUUCAGCCCAGUCGAGAGGGAUAUGUGACAAGCGGGUGACGUCCACUGAUAAUAAACACAUGUUGAAA
RNAcentral lists this long non-coding RNA (619 nucleotides) under Equus caballus (horse). RNAcentral describes it as "lncRNA (ENSECAG00000032678.2)". The record is from RNAcentral. Lineage: Eukaryota; Metazoa; Chordata; Mammalia; Perissodactyla; Equidae.